Molecule: long non-coding RNA, 290 nt
Organism: Anguilla anguilla (European eel)
Lineage: Eukaryota; Metazoa; Chordata; Actinopteri; Anguilliformes; Anguillidae
Exons: 3
Source: RefSeq, a predicted model, not a curated record
GAAGUCCACACCGAGCUCCUCGUCCCCAAAGCCAUCGCCGGGAGCAGCCAGACUGGGGAAACUCACAUCAAACAACCCACCCUGCUGACUGAGAUAAUGAGAGAGAGGGAGGAAGAAAGUGAAGAGAUGGAGGCACUGGAAGGGCCAGAGAGAGGGAGGGGGAUAAAGAGGCUGUGUGUGUUUAAAAAACACGGUUUGUCAGGUACCGAAGUCUGACUGCAGCAGGAGGAAGCUGUUUCCCAAGUCCUCUUUGAGAGUGAUGUCCUCCGUCCUGCACUGGUUCAGGGAGA